Non-coding RNA from Pelobates cultripes (western spadefoot toad), 707 nucleotides. Lineage: Eukaryota; Metazoa; Chordata; Amphibia; Anura; Pelobatidae. The record is from the annotation of a GenBank genome assembly.
CUACCUAGUCCGCUGACAAUGAUGCAUGACUGAAUGUGGUGUGUAUAGUGGAAGUGAAUUAGAAUGUGUGUAAUGGAUGUAGUGUUUGUGUGUAUUAGAUUCUGUUUGAACAGUGAAUGCAGAGUGUGUGUUUGUGUAGCGGAUGCAGUGUGUAUAGUGAACGCAGAGUGUGUUUGAGUAGUGGAUGUAGUGUGUGAUUGUGUAGUGGAUGUAGUGUUUGUGUGUACUAGAUGAAAUGUGUUUAGUGGAUGCAGUGUCUGUAGUGGAUGUAGUGUGUGUAUUAGACACAGUGUCUCUGUAUAGUGAAUGCAGAGUGUUUGAAUGUAUGGUGGAUGUAGUGUGUGUACUGAGAAUACAGGAUGUUUGUGUAGUGAAUGCUGUGUGUAUAGUUAAUGCAGAGUGUGUGUCAGUGGAGUGGAUGCAGGGUGUGUGUCAGUGUAGUGAAUGCAGAGUGUGUGUUAGUGUAGUUAAUGCAGAGUAUGUGUUAGUGUAAUGAAUGCAGAGUGUGUGUUAGAGUAGUAAAUGCAGUGUGUGUCAGUGUAGUGAAUGCAGAGUGUGUGUCAGUGUAAUGAAUGCAGCGUGUGUGUUAGUGCAGUGAAUGCAGUGUGUUUGUUAGUGUAAUGAAUGCAGAGUGUGUGUCAGUGUAGUGAAUUCAGAGUGUGUGUCAGUGUAGUGAAUGCAGUGUGUGUGUUAGUGCAGUGUGUGUG